AACCUCAGUAAACAUCAGGCACUCAGUGCUCUCCAGACUGCAGUGGUGGUGGAGCUGAGAGGACUGUGUUUGGAGGAGUAAAUGUCCACUCUCAUGCUAUUUUAUUUCUCAGGCCCUUUGUCAUGGCCUUCUUAGUGGUAAGAUCUGGAAGGGUACAAUAUGGUGAUAGAUGUAACUUUUGCUUUUGAGAGGUAAGGUGAAGUGAGGCCUGAGUAAAGAUUCACCAGUUUAGGAAGACAUUGCAGUUUGUUUCUAUUUGUUCAAUUCAGUUUACUAGGUUAGAGAAGAAGAUAGAGACUUCAAGCAAGGCCUGGCACAUAAAUCUUCCCUUGGCUAAAUAGUCAAUCAUUAAAAUCUCUCUUGAGGAUGUAAAACUUUUACUUUCUACUUGACCCCACCAAGUUGCUAAUUUUGUGGGUCAGAAAUUUCUAGAAUAUUGAGUGGAUCAUGUUUUCUACUGAGUGGAGUUACUCUUCCCUCUGUUUUCCAUUCUAUUACACUUACUCCAGAGAGAUAAUGUUUUGGCGGAGAAGAGGCAUGGCAGUGAAGAAUAUAUAAUAUACAAUGCCAA
Molecule: long non-coding RNA, 571 nt
Filed under: Homo sapiens (human)
Lineage: Eukaryota; Metazoa; Chordata; Mammalia; Primates; Hominidae
Description: long non-coding RNA NONHSAT177737.1
Source: RNAcentral